AAUUCACGCAGGUUUUUCCUAAACUCUACAUACGCAUGUGACUCCAGUCCCACAGGUGUAGUAUCUGUGUUAUUCAGUCCUCAGAGUGUUACGGUAACUUCCCUCUCUCUUCAACGCUUGGUUUCAGGCGUAGCUGCUCACAAUGGGAGGUCACAGCGUUGCCCGUUUAGCACUCAUAGUCCUUUCUGUUGUCAUUUUCAUCAUCUGCAUCAUAUUCAACGCACUUGCUGGACCGGGAACUGGUCCUUUUCGGAACAACACUGGAGCGAUAUCAGAUAAAUACAAUACAGAAAUCACUCCCUCGGGAUGGACCUUCUCAAUCUGGGGUGUCAUCUACACUUGGCUGUCACUCAUGCAUGUUUACAUCCUCACCACUACCUGCAGGAGGACUGUUUAUGGUCCAAUGUACUGCAGUCCUGCUGUGUUGCCAUAUGGAUUCUUCAUAACCUGGAUUGUAAACAUGCUGCUAAAUAUAAUCUGGCUUCUUCUGUGGGACAGACAGGUGAUGAUUGCUGCAUUCAUUAUCCUUGCCUUGAUUGCCUUCACAAACUAUUUGCUUAUAAUCUUCUCCUGUCAUGGACUCAAACAAUAUGGAGCCUGGUUAAACAAAUAUCACAAAGUAGACCUCUGGUGCAUACGGAUAUUGGUUCAGAAUGGCAUUGCAACAUACACAACAUGGACAACAAUUGCCACUCUGAUUAACUUCACUGUUGUGCUGAGAUAUGAUGCUGGAAUGACCCAGUCAGAUGCAGCAACAGUCUCUCUCUCUAUUCUUUUGGGUGAAGCUAUUUCUUGGUUCAUUGUUGAGAACUUUGUGUUUGAAAAGCACCUGCGAUACAUUCUGACAGUCUACCCUGUUGUUAUUGUGGCCUUGAGUGGAAACAUGACCAAGAACUUUAAAUCUGCAGAUCCAAGCCGCAGCGGCAUUUACAUAGCUGUUUUACUGGGGUUGACUUGUACACUAUUUGCGAUCAAAGUGUUGCUGGUUAUAUGGAGGCACAUUAAACAUCCUCUCUACAAAGGCAUGAAUGUAGAGGAGGAGAUAUCACCAAUGGAAAUUGCUGAAAAGCAGAAGAAGAUCUUCACUUAAACGGAAUAAUGUUUGUAUCAUUCGAUUUUAUAUUUGUCAUGCUAUUUAUUUAUUAUAGCAUUAUAAUCAAUGCUAUUUAUUUUUAUAAUUGUUCAAAUGUGUAAAUAUGUAAUUUUGAUAAAUGAUGAAGUAAAAACUAAAAUGCAAAGCUUGUGUAAAUGAGUUACACACAUUUAAUUGCUCUUAUCAGGGCAGGGGGUGUCUUAGAGUAUCUUUACAGUGACCAUGAUCUGUGCACUGUUAUGUACCAUUUUUCUCCAGCAAUAAAAUCAUAAAACUCACUAGGGUUUAAAGUUUUUGUAAAGUUUUAGAUGGGAAGUCAAGAGGUUGUUGGCUCAAUCCCAACAAGUGGUGACUGAAAAUAGAAUCAUGAUCACAAU
RNAcentral lists this long non-coding RNA (1470 nucleotides) under Sinocyclocheilus grahami. RNAcentral describes it as "lncRNA (ENSSGRG00000027481.1)". The record is from RNAcentral. Lineage: Eukaryota; Metazoa; Chordata; Actinopteri; Cypriniformes; Cyprinidae.